Molecule: long non-coding RNA, 567 nt
Organism: Lycium ferocissimum
Lineage: Eukaryota; Viridiplantae; Streptophyta; Magnoliopsida; Solanales; Solanaceae
Exons: 2
Source: RefSeq, a predicted model, not a curated record
UACCAGAUUUACCCACAAAAAACCCUAAAAGAAUGAAAACUUUAGGGUUUUCUUAUAGAAGAUGAUGUGAUGAUGAUUAAUAAAACUAGGGUUUAGAUGAUUUUUGUGUGAUAGUAGUUGUAGUUGUACGAUUUUUUAUGUAGAUGAUGAUGAUGACAAUCAGAUCUGUGGUGACAGCUUGGAUUGCGGCGACGACUUUAUUGCGGUCAAUUUUACUGCGGCGGCGACUUGUAUGGUGGCAGCGAAGGCGACGGUGGUGUCACUGUCGUGUUUCAGAUAUGACCGGAAAAUGGCUCAGAUCUAGCUGGCUCAGAUCUGUGGAUUUGAGUUGUUUUUUUGUAUUUUUUGAGUGUUUUUGCUAAUAGCGUAUUUGGCUGAAUAUAUGAACAGUGUAUUUGGCUGAAUAUAUGAACAUAUGUAUUUGGUUGAAUAUAUGAACAGUGUUUUCAAAUACACGGAAAUUUAAAUGUAUUUGGCUUCAUAUGUAAUUUGACUGUACACAAUGUAUUUGACAUUUUGUUGAAAUCCAUUCAAAUACAUUGAAUAUAUGAACAGUGUUUUCAAAUA